Molecule: ribosomal RNA, 496 nt
Filed under: uncultured bacterium
Lineage: Bacteria
Description: partial 16S ribosomal RNA
Rfam family: Bacterial small subunit ribosomal RNA
Source: RNAcentral
GAUGAACGCUGGCGGCGUGCCUAAUACAUGCAAGUCGAGCGAACGGACGAGAAGCUUGCUUCUCUGAUGUUAGCGGCGGACGGGUGAGUAACACGUGGAUAACCUACCUAUAAGACUGGGAUAACUUCGGGAAACCGGAGCUAAUACCGGAUGAUAUUUUGAACCGCAUGGUUCAAAAGUGAAAGACGGUCUUGCUGUCACUUAUAGAUGGAUCCGCGCUGCAUUAGCUAGUUGGUAAGGUAACGGCUUACCAAGGCAACGAUGCAUAGCCGACCUGAGAGGGUGAUCGGCCACACGGGAACUGAGACACGGUCCAGACUCCUACGGGAGGCAGCAGUAGGGAAUCUUCCGCAAUGGGCGAAAGCCUGACGGAGCAACGCCGCGUGAGUGAUGAAGGUCUUCGGAUCGUAAAACUCUGUUAUUAGGGAAGAACAUAUGUGUAAGUAACUGUGCACAUCUUGACGGUACCUAAUCAGAAAGCCACGGCUAACUACGU